RNAcentral lists this ribosomal RNA (253 nucleotides) under uncultured bacterium. RNAcentral describes it as "partial 16S ribosomal RNA". It matches the Rfam family "Bacterial small subunit ribosomal RNA", at positions 524 to 776 of the family's 1533-position model. The record is from RNAcentral.
UACAGAGGGGGCAAGCGUUGUUCGGAAUUACUGGGCGUAAAGGGCGCGUAGGCGGCCCGCUAAGUCGAACGUGAAAUCUCCGGGCUUAACCCGGAGCGGCCAAGUGAUACUGUCGUGCUAGAGUGCGGAAGGGGCUACUGGAAUUCUCGGUGUAGCGGUGAAAUGCGCAGAUAUCAGGAGGAACACCAAUUGCGAAGGCAGCUCGCUGGGACGUUACUGACGCUGAGACGCGAAAGCGUGGGGAGCAAACAGG